Molecule: non-coding RNA, 24 nt
Filed under: Arabidopsis thaliana (thale cress)
Lineage: Eukaryota; Viridiplantae; Streptophyta; Magnoliopsida; Brassicales; Brassicaceae
Source: RNAcentral
GACCGUCCGGGAAGGCGAACCGCC